AAACUCAAAGGAUUAAUCUCUCGAACUCAAUCAGAUCUCACCAAGGGGCAUAACUGCAAUAAUGAAGACUAGCAAGGAAGCAGUAAAGAAGAAGCCGGUCAAGCAGUUGGAAAUAAAGAUGAAAAACAAAGAGAAGACUGAUGAAGCAUCCCUGAUAAAUAACAAGUCCAAAACUGAUAAUGCUGAAGCAGCUGA
Long non-coding RNA from Papaver somniferum (opium poppy), 195 nucleotides. RefSeq lists it as uncharacterized. Lineage: Eukaryota; Viridiplantae; Streptophyta; Magnoliopsida; Ranunculales; Papaveraceae. The record is from RefSeq and is a predicted model, not a curated record. The transcript is spliced from 3 exons.